UACGUAUGGAGCAAGCGUUAUCCGGAUUUACUGGGCGUAAAGGGAGCGUAGGCGGCCUGCCAAGUCUGAUGUGAAAUACCGGGGCUCAACCCCGGGGCUGCAUUGGAAACUGGGAGACUUGAGUGCAGAAGAGGAGAGUGGAACUCCAUGUGUAGCGGUGAAAUGCGUAGAUAUAUGGAAGAACACCAGUGGCGAAAGCGGCUCUCUGGUCUGUAACUGACGCUGAGGUUCGAAAGCGUGGGUAGCAAAAAGG
This 253-nucleotide ribosomal RNA is filed under the name uncultured Lactobacillus sp. Its description in RNAcentral is "partial 16S ribosomal RNA". It matches the Rfam family "Bacterial small subunit ribosomal RNA", at positions 524 to 776 of the family's 1533-position model. Lineage: Bacteria; Bacillati; Bacillota; Bacilli; Lactobacillales; Lactobacillaceae. The record is from RNAcentral.